UACGAGGGGGGCGAGCGUUGUUCGGAAUUAUUGGGCGUAAAGGGUGCGUAGGCGGUUUGGUAAGUCUUAUGUGAAAUCUACAGGCUCAACUUGUAGUCUGCAUGAGAAACUGCCGGGCUUGAGUAUGGGAGAGGUGAGUGGAAUUCCUGGUGUAGCGGUGAAAUGCGUAGAUAUCUGGAAGAACACCAAUGGCGAAGGCAAUGUUCUGGCUCGUUUCUGACGCUCAGGUGCGAAAGCCAGGGGAGCGAACGGG
This 253-nucleotide ribosomal RNA is filed under the name uncultured bacterium. RNAcentral describes it as "partial 16S ribosomal RNA". It matches the Rfam family "Bacterial small subunit ribosomal RNA", at positions 524 to 776 of the family's 1533-position model. The record is from RNAcentral.